GUAACGCGUAGUCAAUCUACCCUAUGGACGAGGAUAACCUCGGGAAACUGAGAAUAAUACUCGAUAGAACAUUAUGCCUGGAAUGGUUUAUGUUCCAAAUGAUUUAUCGCCGUAGGAUGGGACUGCGGCCUAUCAGUUUGUUGGUGAGGUAAUGGCCCACCAAGACUAUUACAGGUACGGGCUCUGAGAGGAGUGGCCCGGAGGUGGGUACUGAGACACGGACCCAGGCCCUAUGGGGCGCAGCAGGCGAGAAAACUUUGCAAUGUGCGAAAGCACGACAAGGUUAAUCCGAGUGGUUUCUGCUAAAGAGACCUUUUGUCGGUCCUAGAAACACCGAUGAAUAAGGGGUGGGCAAGUUCUGGUGU
This 365-nucleotide ribosomal RNA is filed under the name uncultured archaeon. RNAcentral's name for it is "bacterial SSU rRNA". It matches the Rfam family "Archaeal small subunit ribosomal RNA", at positions 93 to 458 of the family's 1478-position model. The record is from RNAcentral.